Long non-coding RNA from Setaria italica (foxtail millet), 997 nucleotides. RefSeq lists it as uncharacterized. Lineage: Eukaryota; Viridiplantae; Streptophyta; Magnoliopsida; Poales; Poaceae. The transcript has 2 exons. The record is from RefSeq and is a predicted model, not a curated record.
AUUGUGAAUUUUACCCACAGGAAAACUCCUGAAAACUAAUUUUAUUUCAGCCAUCAAUCAAUUUCCAGAAAAUUGCUAAAAUAACUGGAAAAAGAAAAAGACAGGGGCUCAAUCUUCUCUGCUCUUUCGGCCUGAGCGCGGAAACGGCCUGCCUGCGGCCCAGCGAACGCCGGCGCAAUGUGGCCCAUCUAACGGCCCAGCUGACCAGAGCUUGCCCGGGCCUCAAACUUUACUGUGCUGCCGGCCCGCGCGUGAAUGCGGCCCGGCCUGCCUCGCACUCUCGCCCGCGGCGCCCUCCCUGGCGAUAUCGGGCGAAAAAAACGCCGCGCGCCGUCUCCUCCCGGAAUCCUAGCGCCAUUUCUCCCUCUCAGCGCCGCAAUCCUGCGAGAGUAGCGCCUAGCGGCGGAGCCGAUGGGGCGGGCGAGCGCCGGCGAGCGGCGCGGCGCCCGGCCCGAGGCUUCCCCUCGGCAGGCCCGUCCGUGGCGGGUGACGGCGCCGCCGCAGCUCCCCUCCGCCGGCAGGUGUCCUCAAAGACGGCGCCGCCGCCGGUCCUCUCGCCGGCGCGCGCGCUCGCCCUAGGGUGAGCGCGCCGCCGUCGAGCGGACUAGCGUCGGUGCCUUGGGCACCCCGCCGGCGGCGGCUUCCUUCUUCCCGGAGCGCGGAGCGGAUCCGGCUUGCUAAACUCGUUGUGAAAGAACCAGGCAACAAGGAUAUGGCGAGCCAUGAUGAAGGGAAGAAUUAUGAUGGGUUUAGUAGUUGUAUAGUUGGUUGGAAGUGUCAUGGGUUUGGUAGCUCUAUAGUUGGUGGCGGGCAACUAGAAACAAAGAUAGGGACAAUCAUCGAGCAUCGGCGUGUUUGAUUUAAUUUGAUGAAUGGGUUGGCUCAUCUUCUCGCUCUAUUUUUUGUAAUGGGUUUGGUUUAAUGUAAUGAGUUGAUCCAUCACGAUUUAUUGACUCUUCCCUCACAAGCCAAUAUUUAGUAACAGAUGAUGGAUGAA